This is a non-coding RNA of Nicotiana tabacum (common tobacco), 437 nucleotides long. Lineage: Eukaryota; Viridiplantae; Streptophyta; Magnoliopsida; Solanales; Solanaceae. The record is from RefSeq and is a predicted model, not a curated record.
AGACAAANACUUAGAAAAGGAUCUAAAGGAAAGAGUUGGGGAAAGAGUUUAGAAGCUGCUGGAUUUGAACUCGUGAGGCUGCUGAUUACUGCUUGGCUGCUCCUAUUUAAUCAAGCUUCAUUUGCCCUCAAACUUGACCUUUAUUUGGUCAUUGCCUUCUAUUUCUUUGCUUUAGAUUUUGGAGCUAGUGGCUGAUCGCGAGGUUGGUUGCUAUCAUUGCACACUGGAGACCCAAGGUAGUCCUGCAGGAGUCCGUAGGCCCUGACGCCCCUUUCUAUUUCAUUUUAUUUCCUUUUUAUCUACUACCAAGACAGAUGUAAACUUUUCAUUCAGACCCUUAUUUGUAGUAAUCUUUGACAGUUCAUGAGUUGUGAUGCCAGUUCUAGGUGGAUGUUACUUUGGUUUUCGUUAUUGUAUAAAGUUAAGCUUUUAGAUUA